Cyprinus carpio carpio is the source of this 367-nucleotide long non-coding RNA. NCBI's taxonomy places the organism in Eukaryota, Metazoa, Chordata, Actinopteri, Cypriniformes, Cyprinidae. The record is from Ensembl.
CGUGGAAAGACUUUGCCCAUAUCUGUCACAUUAUGGAAUGGGCAAUGCCACUUUUCUUCACUUGACCAAGAUGAAAUUCAGUCCCACUCCAGGCGAUGAAGGUGAUCUGGAGGCCGUCAAAAAUCUUGAGUUUCCACCGUUACUUGUGCACCACUGAAACAAGACCACAUUUCAAUGAAGGCCAGGAGAUUCCCAAAGGACCCGACGGACAUCACUCAAGCCUAUCACAGGAAAAACGUGUCCUCACACCUGCUUGAAUCCUUUUUAUAUUUUGACGUUCAUAUCUGUCUCUCCUUGACCAAAAAACCUUGCCGCUUUAGAUUAAAACGAAAAGUGCCGGUAAAGUGUCAGUAUUCACACAAAUACA